UAAAUAUGAUGAUUUGCUUUUGGUCCGUGUUUAUGAGUCUUUGUGAUUUGUAUUUCAAAAGCACUGAUAUU
Sitophilus oryzae (rice weevil) is the source of this 71-nucleotide small nucleolar RNA. RefSeq annotates it as small nucleolar RNA SNORD18. The transcript has a single exon. The record is from RefSeq and is a predicted model, not a curated record. Lineage: Eukaryota; Metazoa; Arthropoda; Insecta; Coleoptera; Curculionidae.